Molecule: ribosomal RNA, 458 nt
Filed under: uncultured marine eukaryote
Lineage: Eukaryota
Description: SSU rRNA
Rfam family: Eukaryotic small subunit ribosomal RNA
Source: RNAcentral
GGUUAAAAAGCUCGUAGUUGGAUUUCUGUUGAGGACGGCCGGUCCGCAUUAUGUGCGUGUAUCUGGUUCGGCCUUGGCAUCCUCCAGGGGAACGUUCCUGCGCUUCGCUGCGUGGGACGGUAUUCUGGACUUUUACUUUGAGGAAAUUAGAGUGUUCACGGCAGGCAGUCGCCUUGAAUAUAUUAGCAUGGAAUAAUAAUAUAGGACCUUGAUUCUAUUUUGUUGGUUUCUAGAAUUUAGGUAAUGAUUAAUAGGGACAAUUGGGGGCAUUUGUAUUAACACGUCAGAGGUGGAAUUCUUGGAUUGUGUACGACAAACUACUGCGAAAGCAUUUGCCAAGGAUGUUUUCAUUGAUCAAGAACGAAAGUAAGGGGAUCGAAGACGAUUAGAUACCGUCGUAGUCUUUACCAUAAACUAUGCCAACUAGAGAUUGGAGGUCGUUCUUUUUAUGACUCCUU